Non-coding RNA from Oncorhynchus mykiss (rainbow trout), 839 nucleotides. The record is from RefSeq and is a predicted model, not a curated record. Lineage: Eukaryota; Metazoa; Chordata; Actinopteri; Salmoniformes; Salmonidae.
GUAUAAAAUGUGGUGAGUUGUUGACUUAGAGAGAGACAGUAGUUGAACAGUUUAGAACAAAUGAAUUUCUUCCAAAAUGAAGGAGAAGCAAUAGAGAAAUAGAGAGUGACAUUGUUUCAGUGUCACUGCAAUGCAGCUUUCUAGUUUAGCCUACUGAAACACCCUACUCAGAGGGAUGUUAUGUUAGCUAGCUGGCUAUGACUUUCCAGCACAACAUGGAAGUCUUCCAAGGGACCCACUGGUGUAACUGCUGACUGACUGUACACUAACAUUACUGCAUGAUUGUAGCGGGUUUACUAACGCGUUAGUUCUAUUAGCUAUGCUGACUGACGUUACUUUAGAUAAUAUCGUGACAACGAUGUACGCUGACUAUAGCGGCAACUGCACACAGCCAUUGAAGAGGAGUGGGACAACAUUACACAGGCCACAAUCAACACUCUGGUCAUCUCUUCGCGAAGGAGAUUUGUCACGCUGCAUGAGGCAAAUGGUGGUCACAUGGCUUUGAGAUUGCAUGCGUUCUACAAGCUUUGGACGAAGAACUUCCACAGGGCCGCCAUCUACAAAGUUCACUCAAAAAGGCAAUAGUUCUUAACUUAGUUUGCUUUUGUUUUAAUUAUUUACAUAUUGUUAAUUAUCUUUAAAAGUUCCAUUGGUUGAAAGCUAUUGCUCAGUUAUCACUUGGCUCAUGUAAAUUAUGUUUUUGGCAAAACAAGCAGGACCGCGUCAUGUGUCAGAAGCAAUGCAUGUUAGCAAUCUUAUGUUAGCUGGAUAACUUAUUAUUAAGCAAUUACAGUGGAUACUUAAUGAAUAGGAUUGUCAAUAAACUAAUUCUCAACAUC